CAAGAUCAUCAUUGUCGCUGCGUCCAUAUUGAUCCUGGCCCUCCUCGUGUCCUGCGGUAACUACAACACUGCAUUACAUGUUUCUAACAAUCGUUACAUAUUCUGAAAAAGAAUUAUGUUAUCUUUUUAGGGCAGAUUAUGUUAUUUAUAACAUGAAUAAAACACCUUUGAUAUGUUAGCAGACGCGGCUGAUGACAGCUGUAAGUGCGAGGCGUGCGUCAUGGCACCGGAUCCGCACUGCAACAGCAUCGAAGCGUGCGUUAAGCAAUGCAGAGAUUCCGGCUACACAAUUGGAUACUGUUUAGUCGUUGAACAACUGAUCUGCAUCUGUGGGGUCUGCACGAGUCAAGAGCCCUUCAAGCAUCCUAGAAAGUCUCUUUCACUAGGUCCCUAAAAAAGUUUUGCGGACACGUGAAAAAGCAUCCUUGUAUGAAAAGUUCAGAACUGUGUAUGACGGUAGUUCCUUCCAUUUUUUCAAUGUUACCUCGGCAGCGGCAAAGGAUGAUAGCGGAUGACGUUUCAGCGUGGCACAAGAUUCUGCUGUAUUGAAAUUCUAGUUUUACUUCUUGCGGAGUCUUUGGUGCAAUAUUGCAAGACAUUUAUGUUUGUUUCUUGUAGUGAUGACAUAUGUACCUUGUAAUCCAUUUGUCUAAUAAAAUAUAUGUGGUUAAUUAAAAAAAAGGUCUCUUUCAC
RNAcentral lists this long non-coding RNA (693 nucleotides) under Triticum aestivum (bread wheat). RNAcentral's name for it is "long non-coding RNA (TAES_LNC016869)". The record is from RNAcentral. Lineage: Eukaryota; Viridiplantae; Streptophyta; Magnoliopsida; Poales; Poaceae.